RNAcentral lists this ribosomal RNA (253 nucleotides) under uncultured bacterium. Its description in RNAcentral is "partial 16S ribosomal RNA". It matches the Rfam family "Bacterial small subunit ribosomal RNA", at positions 524 to 776 of the family's 1533-position model. The record is from RNAcentral.
GACGAGCUCUCCAAACGUUAUUCGGUAUUACUGGGCUUAAAGAGUUCGUAGGCGGCAUUGUAGGUGAGGUGUGAAAGCCCUCGGCUUAACCGAGGAACUGCGCUUCAAACCACAAAGCUAGAGGGAGACAGGGGUAAGCGGAACAGAUGGUGGAGCGGUGAAAUGCGUUGAUAUCAUCUGGAACACCGGUGGCGAAAGCGGCUUACUGGGUCUUUUCUGACGCUGAGGAACGAAAGCUAGGGGAGCGAACGGG